RNAcentral lists this ribosomal RNA (468 nucleotides) under uncultured bacterium. RNAcentral describes it as "partial 16S ribosomal RNA". It matches the Rfam family "Bacterial small subunit ribosomal RNA", at positions 28 to 507 of the family's 1533-position model. The record is from RNAcentral.
GACGAACGCUGGCGGCGUGCCUAACACAUGCAAGUCGAACGGAAAGGCCCUGCUUUGGUGGGGUGCUCGAGGGGCGAACGGGUGAGUAACAGGUGAGUAACCUGCCGGUGACUUUGGGAUAACUUCAGGAAACUGGGGAUAAUACCGGAUAGGAGCUCCUGCGGCAUGGUGGGGGUUGGAAAGUUUCGGCGGUUGGGGAUGGACUCGCGGCUUAGCCGCGUGUUGGUGGGGUAGUGGCUUACCAAGGCGUUGACGGGUAGCCGGCCUGAGAGGGUGACCGGCCACCUUGGGACUGCGAUACGGCCCAGACUCCUACGGGAGGCAGCAGUGGGGAAUAUUGCACAAUGGGCGGAAGCCUGAUGCAGCAACGCCGCGUGCGGGAUGCCGGCCUUCGGGCUGUAAACCGCUUUCGCCUGUGACGAAGCGUGAGUGACGGUAAUGGGUAAAGAAGCACCGGCUAACUACGUG